CCAAUAUUUUUGGUGACUCAUAAUAACUUUACGGAUCACAUUAUGUGACAUAUCAUUCAAGUUUCUGACCUAUCAGCUUUAGACGGUAGGGUAUUGGCCUACCGUGGCUAUGACGGGUAACGGGGAAUUAGGGUUCGAUUCCGGAGAGGGAGCCUGAGAAACGGCUACCACAUCUAAGGAAGGCAGCAGGCGCGCAAAUUACCCAAUCCUAAUACAGGGAGGUAGUGACAAGAAAUAACAAUACAGAACCUUACGGUUUUGUAAUUGGAAUGAGUUAAGUAUAAACCCCUUAACAAGUAUCAAUUGGAGGGCAAGUCUGGUGCCAGCAGCCGCGGUAAUUCCAGCUCCAAUAGCGUAUAUUAAAGUUGUUGCAGUUAAAAAGCUCGUAGUUAAUCUUCUGUUAAUUUUUAUAUAUAAUAUCUCGAUAUUUAUAUAAUAUUAACAUAAUUCAUAUUACUUUUUAGUAUAUGAAACUUUACUUUGAGAAAAUUAGAGUGCUUAAAGCAGGCUAUUGCCUUGAAUACUCCAGCAUGGAAUAAUAUUAAGGAUUUUUAUUCUUCUUAUUGGUUCUAGAAUAAAAAUGAUGAUUAAUAGGAACAGUUGGGGGCAUUUGUAUUUAACAGUCAGAGGUGAAAUUCUUAGAUUUGUUAAAGACAAACUACUGCGAAAGCAUUUGCCAAGGAUGUUUUCAUUAAUCAAGAACGAAAGUUAGGGGAUCGAAGACGAUCAGAUACCGUCGUAGUCUUAACCAUAAACUAUGCCAACUAGAGAUUG
Molecule: ribosomal RNA, 774 nt
Filed under: Cryptosporidium xiaoi
Lineage: Eukaryota; Apicomplexa; Conoidasida; Eucoccidiorida; Cryptosporidiidae
Description: SSU rRNA
Rfam family: Eukaryotic small subunit ribosomal RNA
Source: RNAcentral